AAAGGGCAAUAACACAUUUACUUGGCUUGGAACCUAGGCCCUUCUAGUUUGGAUAUCACAGCUUUACCACUGAACCAAUGUGUUUUUCUCAAUAGGCUUCUGUGCGUCGGACCCUUGUCUCAAUAGAGGUACUUGCAUACCAGCUGAACAACAGUGUGCUUGCUCAUCGCUCUACGCAGGAACAACAUGCAACAUUGACCAAACACAAGAUGGUGUGCCAACCGUUACCUCUCACCCCAGAAAUAAAACUGUAGGUAUAUCGGAGAUGGUAGUAUUGAACUGUGAAUUCCAAGAUGUUCUGCACUUUGACUGGUGGAGAGAUGGAAAAAAGGUGCCUGACACCCGCGAUAUAUCUAACUAUGUCAUCGGUGAGAUGACCCCCUCUGAUCAGGCGUAUUAUAGCUGUGUCGGUUUCCCAGAAAACGGACCUCAUAUUGAAAGCAACCACGCACUGCUUAGAAUCAGAGAUAUGUCUAUUUUUCAUCUGAAGUUCAAGCUUGUAGGAAAUUUCACGACAUUUCAAGCUGAUCAAGAAUCUUCAGAUUACAAGACCCUUGUGCGUGAUAUUCAA
Molecule: long non-coding RNA, 571 nt
Organism: Strongylocentrotus purpuratus (purple sea urchin)
Lineage: Eukaryota; Metazoa; Echinodermata; Echinoidea; Camarodonta; Strongylocentrotidae
Exons: 3
Source: RefSeq, a predicted model, not a curated record